AUGUCCUGAAGUGUGACUGAAUGGAUCUUGUCCUUGACUACAGACCAGCGUGCUCAAUCAGCGUGAGGCUAAAAGUGUCCCUACCAGCCUCACAACUGAAGACACCAUCAGAAAUAGCAGUCUGGAGUGAUCUACUGAAAGAUCGUCACAUGGAGUUUUGGCAUGAGCCAUCAAUAUGGAGCUUCCCUGUCUUUCCCAGCCUUAUAGAUACAUCCAAGGAAAGAGGAAAUGAGGGGUGCAUGUCCUUCGUGCACUGAUGGAGAUGUUAACGAGGCUAAGGAGAAACCUGAACACUUUACCCAGAUGUUCAGGACAUGAAGAAAGGGUGGCUGCUGCACAGAACCAGGAUCGGGCAAUCCACACUUGUUUUCUAAAGAGGAUUUCUACCCAAAGUUGGGCAGAUUUUCCCAAAGAAAAUACUCCUGUGUCUCUACCAAUGGAUAAAAAUGUUGUAUUUUAAGUCUGUAAAAUAUUCUGUUUACUAUUAUAAUGAUGUGUAUGCGUAGUUUUAAAUCUUCUUUGAUAAUAGGCUUUUUAACAAAACUGGCUGAUUUUAAUGCUGUUAACUGUGCAGUUAAGUGAUCAUGCUCAUUUAAUCAAAUUAAAACCUACUGAUGUUCUGACCUUCAUAGUCAAUCUAGUAUCUAGCUGUAGUAGUAUGUUACAAGCAAAAUGUAUUUUAAGUAUCACAAUUACUCUUAUAAUCUCAUACAAUGUUGUGAAUCAAUGUUUGUUUCAUUUGUACAGUCAUUAGCAGCAGUCUUUAAGCAAUUAGUUAGCAACUUGCAGUUAUCUAUAAAAAGAGAUAUUAUGUAAAAAUGCAAAAAAAAUCUGAGCUAAUAGACUCAACAUUUAAUAUAGCGUCAUGCACGCACCCAUACAUUACUUUUAUUUCUGUAGAAAUCUGUAUUAGGACCUGUGUUUAACUGUA
Non-coding RNA from Maylandia zebra (zebra mbuna), 931 nucleotides. Lineage: Eukaryota; Metazoa; Chordata; Actinopteri; Cichliformes; Cichlidae. The record is from RefSeq and is a predicted model, not a curated record.